RNAcentral lists this unclassified non-coding RNA (334 nucleotides) under soil metagenome. RNAcentral's name for it is "partial contains 5.8S ribosomal RNA, internal transcribed spacer 2, and large subunit ribosomal RNA". The stretch from base 1 to 120 matches the Rfam family "5.8S ribosomal RNA", at positions 35 to 154 of the family's 154-position model. The record is from RNAcentral.
GAUGAAGAACGUAGCGAAAUGCGAUACGUAGUGUGAAUUGCAGAAUUCAGUGAAUCAUCGAAUCUUUGAACGCACAUUGCGCCUGCCAGCACUCUGGCAGGCAUGCCUGUUCGAGCGUCAUUUCAACCAUCAAGCCCUAGGCUUGCGUUGGAGCCCUGCGGCUGCCGCAGGCCCCUAAAAGCAGUGGCGGGCUCGCUAUCACACCGAGUGCAGUAGAUUACUCUUCGCUCAGGGCGUGUGGCGGGUUCCAGCCGUGAAACCCCCUACUUCUCAAGGUUGACCUCGGAUCAGGUAGGAAUACCCGCUGAACUUAAGCAUAUCAAUAAGCGGAGGA